Molecule: long non-coding RNA, 1836 nt
Organism: Saccostrea cuccullata (small rock oyster)
Lineage: Eukaryota; Metazoa; Mollusca; Bivalvia; Ostreida; Ostreidae
Exons: 4
Source: RefSeq, a predicted model, not a curated record
UCGAAAAGCAAUUAAUUUAAAAGCAACACACCGCGCCGAAAUUCAAUUUCUUGGAGAGUUCCACGCAGCCAUGUUGAACUUGAUCAUGAUGUUGUACGGGGCGAAAGAGAGUGACAUGAAAAGGAGAAGCAUGAUUAACUUUGGAUGAAAUUUCUGAUUUAACAGAAGAUGAAGACAUUUACGUCCCUGUUUAGCGGUAGGAACAAUGUACAAAUUUUUAUCAUUUGUCCUUGAAUGAAUAAUUGCCUCUGCUACUAAUAAUGUUACUGUUCUUUAGUCUGGGUACUACACAUAAAAUGCCUAGCAGUAAAAACGUUUGGGCAAGCGCUAUUUAAAUUUUGUAAUAAUUAUUUAGCACUUUUAAUUAUCUCUCUUAAAGAUGGAUUUUAACCAGAAUUUUCUCGUUUGGUAUUGGUUUCAGAAUUUUAGUCACUAAAGUGUUCCUCUGUUCAGCAUUUACAGAGUAUGUUGUACAAUGUAAUAAAAUAUUUAUUUAUUUCUUAUGCAUACUCAAGAGUAUAUUCAGCACUUAUUUUGUUUUAUUUAAAUAGUUGCAGUGGACUGUGCUUGAGACGAUUCCCCACAUCGCUGGCUAUGUAGACAGCUUGUGAAAAUGAAAUUGUGCCAGAAAAGUUUGAAGUAGCUAUGGGAAUGAUCAACAUUGAACUUGCUGAGCCUUCCUUCUGAAAGUGACUUGACCAGAUAUUUGGCUACCCAGUAUGAGGUACAAACUAAGGCCAAAAUAAAAAAUACUCUUGUUUCCUGUCACCCGACCUACCCUAAAUUUUACCCUCCAACCUAAAAGUUCUUAUUACAUUUUCAUUUUUUGGGUGACUAUUUUCCUAAAAUUUUAAAGUCAACCAACAAUAUAAAUACAAAACUAAUACAUCACAAUUGUACAGGAUACCUUUAUUCUAUAAAUCCUGAUUAACAAACUAGCUCUGUAAACUGUUAACAUAUCAUUUUCUUGUUAUUACAUGAUAUAUGUUCUGCAUCCAAUGAGUUUUCAAAAUAAAAUUUUUUCUCAAAAUAAAUUUUUUUCACUACCUACUUACCCUAAUUUUUUUAGUCAGGGGACAGGAAACAAGAGUUUAUUUUCUUUUGGCCUAAUCAUUUGUUGUACGACUUAUUGUGUAUGAGAUCGCCACCAUUUACUAGAACUUUGCAUUUGCUGUCCACUUUAAAAACCUGCUAUCUACAGUGUAAGUUGUUAAAUUAAAUAUCUUUUACUUAAUAUCAAAUGACUUGCUCAUUAUCCUAAUAUUUUACUCUUAAAUUCCAUGUGUUUCGAGUAUGUACAUCCAUUUUAUAUCAUGUUUUGUUGUCUCUAAAUUUAAUCUAAUACAUAUCAUAAUAUGUUAUUGUAUGACUGUUAUCUACUUGCUCUAAAAUCAUAAAUACAUCUGUUUGUAUAUUUUUUCUACGAGAUGCCAUACCUGCUUGUAAUUUUUCAUAUUUUUUUUUAUCCAUAAUAUUUUUCUGCUACAUUAAAUAAAAUAUCGUGGAGGAACACUAAGAAAGGGGCUGUGCAUCUCAACAUAUUCAAGGCCAAGCAGCUUUUUACCAUAUCCAUAGUAUCUUGCUGCUAAAUGAAAGAAUUAUUGUGGAGGAGCAGAGAAAUGGGCACUUCAACAUGUUCAAGGUCAAGCAGAAAUUAGGAGCUAGAUGUGCUUCUCCAGAACUGAAAACUUCUUGGCAUGAAGAGAAGAAAAAGCAAGAAGAAGCAGUUUUAAAUAUUGAUUACGUCUUCAUAGUACACAAAAAUUAUUCUAAAGAUAAUACUAUCUAUGAAAUUAGAAAGCUGAAGUUGUGUUCUGAUGAAUGUGAGAAUGUCUU